CCAGUGAGCAGCUCUGUCGCCACCAGCGACUGGCCAGCCUGCUGCACGGCCCACAGCAACAUUAGUUUCUCUUCCCUCCUCCACGACAGCAACCAGCAGCCACCACAGCAAGGCAGGUCUUCUUCCUCUCCACGAACAACCACAAGCAGCAGCGGGCUACGAAGCCUGUUCCCAGCAGCGAGUAGGGUUGCGUGUUGCUCUCACAAUAGCUGACUGCCCCCUAGUGCCGCCAACUCCCCACCUUGGUCCUCCACCACCACAACAACCGCCUGAAAUCUUACCCUUUACUAGUUCCCCCAUUGUGUCCAUUUCGUAAAAGGAAUGUAGAGCCUUAGUUCGGUGAUUUUGUGACUUUUGAUCGUGUAGUGACGCUUACAGCAGGAGGAUCAUAGACAGACAUGGCAGGUAUUGGAGCUUCUUUUGCAUUGCAUUGCAUUGGGGGAGAGUGAUGAGGGCGAAGCAUAACCUGUGUCAUACUGCUAUCUUUUGACUUUGUAGUUCUUAUUUAUCUUUAGUAAACUUUGGUUGUAUACGUUUUGUCAUGAGGCCUUGUGUCCUCCUUUGUAUAUUUUUAUUUCCGCUGCGUAGUUUAUGGUUUUAAAUAAGUCAUCUUAAAACGCAAGCAUCGACACUGGAACCACGAUCCAUGCUUGGCAUGUUGAUUUGAGAAGCCGGCGACGAAUCAUUCCGCCGUGGUGUGAGAUUUUAAAGGCAAUGAUGCCUUAGAUUAGUUUAAUGUUUUUUU
Amaranthus tricolor (Joseph's coat) is the source of this 745-nucleotide long non-coding RNA. RefSeq lists it as uncharacterized. NCBI's taxonomy places the organism in Eukaryota, Viridiplantae, Streptophyta, Magnoliopsida, Caryophyllales, Amaranthaceae. The transcript is spliced from 3 exons. The record is from RefSeq and is a predicted model, not a curated record.